UUAAGUUCAGCGGGUAUCCCUACCUGAUCCGAGGUCAACCUGAAAAAUUUGGGGGUUGCUGGCGGGCAUGCGGCUGGGCAUCCAGAGCGAGAAGAAUUACUACGCUCGGAGCCAGACGGCACCGCCACUAACUUUAGGGCCCGCCGGGGCGGCGGGGCCCAACACCAAGCAUAGCUUGAGGGUUGUAAUGACGCUCGGAC
RNAcentral lists this unclassified non-coding RNA (200 nucleotides) under Pseudogymnoascus sp. Its description in RNAcentral is "partial internal transcribed spacer 2". Lineage: Eukaryota; Fungi; Ascomycota; Leotiomycetes; Thelebolales; Thelebolaceae. The record is from RNAcentral.